This 2213-nucleotide long non-coding RNA is filed under the name Homo sapiens (human). RNAcentral describes it as "non-protein coding lnc-HS6ST1-8:1". Lineage: Eukaryota; Metazoa; Chordata; Mammalia; Primates; Hominidae. The record is from RNAcentral.
AGGGGAAAGUCCCUUUCACAACUCCCUAGAAGCAGAAUGUCCUAAGAAUUUUAUGGCAUUACCUACUUCCAAUUCUGCUCAGAUUUAUAGUACAUAUUUUUUAUCACCCUGACAAUUUCUUAGUGCCUAGAGAGUACUGAUGUUCUUCAGCAGCUGGAACAUGAUCUGUCUUCAACCAGAAAUGAUAUGUGAUUGGUUCCUUCAUCAAGCCCAAAGCCAAAGGAAUCCAGCCCAUAACCUCUGAUGGUAGUUUCUUUUGCUGUGCAGAAGCUCUUUAGUUUAAUUAGAUCCCAUUUGUCAAUUUUGGCUUUUGUUGCCAUUGCUUUUGGUGUUUUAGACAUGAAGUCCUUGCCCAUGCCUAUGUCCUGAAUGGUAAUGCCUAGGUUUUCUUCUAGGGUUUUUAUGGUUUUAGGUCUAACGUUUAAGUCUUUAAUCCAUCUUGAAUUAAUUUAUUGACACUUCUGCUCACAGGCAUGUUCCAGCUCAUACCCUAUGCCCCUUCCUUAUUUGGAAAUGUUAUUGCUUCCUAUGGUGACCAGAAUGUGUGGCAUUUGAGCCAUCAGCCCCUUUCCCUGCAGCCCUCCCAGCUCUCAUGGAAGCUGCCCUGGGGACUCCAGUCCAUUGGAUGCAGUGAAAAAUCGAGGCUCCUUCUGUCUCCAUCUCCCAGCUGGGAAUAUGUCUGCACUGCAAGAGGAGCAGCAUGCCAAUGCUUCUGUUUGCCUCUGCCCCAUGUUGCCUGCAAUGCGGACAUAUUCCCAGCUAGGAGAUGGAGACAGAAGAAGCCCCGAUUUUUCACUGCAUCCAAUGGACUGGAGUCCCCAGGGCAGCUUCCAUGAGAGCUGGGAGGGCUGCAGGGAAAGGGGCUGAUGGUUCAAAUGCCACACAUUCUGGUUACCGUUACCAAAUACAGUAAAUAUUGUUUAAUGAAUAUUUCUCCAUUUGCUGUAUGUCCUUAGAACAGUUUCCACAGACUUUUUAAAAAUCAUUUACUCCAGUGAAAUCAUUGCUUUGCUGCUGAGAAUUCUGUUGCACUCUUCUCUCUUCCCAUCUGGAACCCCAUUACAACAGAUGAAUGGAUAAAGAAAACGUGGUGUAUGGACCCAGUGGAAUGCCAUGCAGCCAUAGAGAAGAAGGAAAGCCUGUCAUUUACUACAACAUGGAUGGAUCUGGAGGACUUUACGUUAAGUGAAAUCAGCCAGUUACAGGAUGACAAAUAUUGCAUGAUUUCACUCACACAUGGAAUCUUCUAAAAAAUGAUAUUAUAGAAGCAGAGAGUAAAAUAGUGGUUACCAGACACUGGGAAGGGGAGGAGAUGGGGAGGAGGAGGAGAGGUUAAUCAGCUCAGCUCUGGCUCUGGGAAUCCUGUCUGCAGUGGCCAACGGGGUCAAGGGGCGAGUGCCUGUGGGUGUGAGUUUGUGUGCGGCACCUAGGGGUUGGCUCAUGGGGCAUGUGUGGGUCCUUUGUGGGGAGUACAGGGGCUGGUUGGCUGGGGGCUGGUGUAAGACCUAGCAGUGUUUAGGUAAUUCCUUACCUAAGUCCAUGUUUGCCCAAGACUAGGGAGGACAGAGGAAGCUUGUGUUGCUGAUAUCUUAACCUCAGCCAGUGCUCAUCAAGGCCACCCUGCAAGCUCCUAUUUCCCAAAUGUCUUCAUCUGUAAGGGCUGCCAUAGCAAAGCCCCAUGGACAGGGAGCCUUCUUAAACAACACAAACUCUUCCUCACAAUUCUGGAGGCUGGAAGUCCAGGGUCAAAGUGUCAGUAGGGUUGCAUCCCCUGAGGCCUCUCUCCUUGGUUUACAAAUGGCUGUCUUCUCCCGUGUCCUCAUGUGGUCUUCCCUCUGUGUCUGUCCAUGUCCUCAUCUCCUCUCUUAUGAGGAUACUAGCAAGAUUGCAUUAGGACCCACCCUCCUGAACUCAUUUUACUUUAGUCACCUCUUGAAAGGCCCUGUCUCCAAACAGUCACAUUCUGAGGUUCUGGAGGUUACUACUUUAACAUAUGGAUUUAGGUGGAGCAAAACUCAGCCCAUAACACUAACUUUCCUGAUAACCUGAAGCCCUGAGAAGUUGCCACUUGUCAGCCUUCUGCUCUUGACCAGGGCCUGCCAUCUCUGCAGCUGCCUCCCCUGCCUCUACCCCAGUCCCCAUCUGGGGGCUCCAUGGAAACAGCUGCACCAUUAACCCCUGACAUAGCCCCAAAUCUUUCACUGCACAGACCA